GCGGUCGUGGCGGAACUGGCAGACGCACUAGCUUGAGGUGCUAGCGCCGCAAGGCGUGGAGGUUCGAGUCCUCUCGACCGCACCA
This 85-nucleotide transfer RNA is filed under the name Acidobacteria bacterium 13_2_20CM_2_57_12. Its description in RNAcentral is "tRNA-Leu". It matches the Rfam family "tRNA". From Rfam's summary of the family: Transfer RNA (tRNA) molecules are approximately 80 nucleotides in length. Their secondary structure includes four short double-helical elements and three loops (D, anti-codon, and T loops). The record is from RNAcentral. RNAcentral also lists the same sequence under 15 other names. Lineage: Bacteria; Pseudomonadati; Acidobacteriota.